AUAGCUAUAGUUUUCAUACACACACCUGGUUAAAAGCCACAGUGAGAGGUGUAAUUAUUUGUGAAGAAAAUUUAAUAGCUUUCUUCUAAUGUUCCCAUUGGAAGUGGAUCAUUCCCUUAAUAAGUUAUCUGUAAAGAAUACUUCUGGAUCUACUUACCUACAGUAGAAGUUUUUUUAAAAAAAAUUUAACAUCUACCGAGAAGAAGCAAGCACAUGUGAGAAUUCACACAAGUUACAGAGACUGUACAGCCCAAAAUCAACAAAAAUGUAAAACAGCUUUAAGACUUCCAUUUGCUAAAUAAUCUAUUAUAGAAGUUCUACAUUAAAAAACUGCUUAUAGAAGUAACUUUACAAAAGAGAAGUGCACAAACCUCAUGUAGCCACAACCAUUUCUCUCUUUAUGGUGUGGAGAGCCUCUGCAUAAGAAAUAAAUUUCAAUAGAUUUCAGGGCAGAAUUGGAGCCAAUAAAAGAUAAACACAAGAUUCAAUUAGCAGUGAAACCCAAAAUAUUGAAACAGGGAAAGUUACUAAUUAAGAAAGAGCACACAUUCACUCGUCAAGAUGAAAAGAAAAGCAUAAAAUUACCUCAUAAGUGUGUUCUUUGGUAAUUUACUUGUGUACUGUUGCUCAUAUCUGCUUCACUGGCUUCCAAAAAUAUUAAAUAAAACAGCGCUAAUUUAGUUUGAGAGAACGAAAGGAGAUCAAUUAUGCUUUUACCUCGACAUAUACCGAAACAGAUGUAGGGCCAUACUUCAGCUGCAAUAGAUUUUCCUCUGUUAUAUGACUUAUGUCAUUGAGUUCUUUGUCGGUGUAGCUUGAACAGAAAUACCACUGAGAUAAUAAAUAUGGAAAAAAUGAGUGUAUUGGUUGUGAAUAAUUACCAAUUGGAGAUCCACUGAGAUUGAGGGAGAAGAAUCAGAGUGUUUUAUGAAGAAGCAUGUUUGGGCAAAAGAUUCUUCUCGUCAAGGUCGUUGGGGACUGUAAUAGAGAGUCUCUGUCUUCCUCUGUUUUCAUACCGUCAAUCAGCUUAUGAGGAUUCGAGGUGCUAAAGCCGCCAUUGUUCUUGGGUUUAAGAUCGAGAUUGGGUGAUUCAGAGGAGAAAAAUG
Molecule: long non-coding RNA, 1106 nt
Filed under: Eutrema salsugineum
Lineage: Eukaryota; Viridiplantae; Streptophyta; Magnoliopsida; Brassicales; Brassicaceae
Description: long non-coding RNA (ESAL_LNC002219)
Source: RNAcentral